This 497-nucleotide ribosomal RNA is filed under the name uncultured bacterium. RNAcentral describes it as "partial 16S ribosomal RNA". It matches the Rfam family "Bacterial small subunit ribosomal RNA", at positions 28 to 507 of the family's 1533-position model. The record is from RNAcentral.
GAUGAACGCUGGCGGCGUGCCUAAUACAUGCAAGUCGAGCGAACGGACGAGAAGCUUGCUUCUCUGAUGUUAGCGGCGGACGGGUGAGUAACACGUGGAUAACCUACCUAUAAGACUGGGAUAACUUCGGGAAACCGGAGCUAAUACCGGAUAAUAUUUUGAACCGCAUGGUUCAAAAGUGAAAGACGGUCUUGCUGUCACUUAUAGAUGGAUCCGCGCUGCAUUAGCUAGUUGGUAAGGUAACGGCUUACCAAGGCAACGAUGCAUAGCCGACCUGAGAGGGUGAUCGGCCAAACUGGAACUGAGACACGGUCCAGAAUCCUACGGGAGGCAGCAGUAGGGAAUCUUCCGCAAUGGGCGAAAGCCUGACGGAGCAACGCCGCGUGAGUGAUGAAGGUCUUCGGAUCGUAAAACUCUGUUAUUAGGGAAGAACAUAUGUGUAAGUAACUGUGCACAUCUUGACGGUACCUAAUCAGAAAGCCACGGCUAACUACGUG